CACCAAGACUAUUGACGACGGAAAACCUAUUUCACAAGUAUGUAACGCAAAUUGGAACGUUACUUACUUCGUGUGUAACAAUCGGUUCAUUGGCUCUCGCAUUCUAUGUAACAAAACGACUGCUGCAUUAGUAAACCACGCCACACACUUUGCUGGCCCCUAAGUACUUUUCCUGGAAUUCAUGACUGCGGUUGAUGAAAUUCAUCUGGAAGAACGCCUUCG
Topomyia yanbarensis is the source of this 222-nucleotide long non-coding RNA. RefSeq lists it as uncharacterized. NCBI's taxonomy places the organism in Eukaryota, Metazoa, Arthropoda, Insecta, Diptera, Culicidae. The transcript has 3 exons. The record is from RefSeq and is a predicted model, not a curated record.